Molecule: non-coding RNA, 1986 nt
Organism: Anoplopoma fimbria (sablefish)
Lineage: Eukaryota; Metazoa; Chordata; Actinopteri; Perciformes; Anoplopomatidae
Source: the annotation of a RefSeq genome assembly
GUAGAAGGGGUUUUCACAGUGAUGGGUGGGGUGGGGCACUGAGAUAUAGAUCCAUACAAAAACCUAAGAGCAAAAACUUUACUCUCUCACACUCUCAUGAUGAUAAAUGAACAGGACAAAAUAUUUGAUCAUUGGAAUAUGAAGUAAACUACUGUGUUUAUCACUUUAAUAAUCAGUUUAGCAAUUAAAAAUACGUCAGGUUUUUGUUCCAGCACUGAGUGGAGAUGCAACACUGUGAUUAUUUCGACUACUGGGGAAGUGGGACUGAAGUCACAGUAUCUUCAGACGCACCUGCACCUUCACACCCAACUCUGUUCCCUUUGGUUAAGUGCGGACCUGAGGAUGCACACAUCACUGUUGGUUGUCUUGCAUACGACUUCUUCCCAAAAAGUCUUACUUUCCAGUGGACCGAUGCCAGUGGGACCACCCUGACUUCUAACCAAUAUCCUCCAAGUUUGAGAAACAACAAAUAUACAGGAGUCAGUUUGCUCCAAGUGUCAAAGAUUGACUGGGCUUCAAAAAAGUCCUUUAAAUGUCUUGUGAAUCACCUUUCACACACCGAGAACGUGACAUUGGUAAAAAAGGGUCCUCCAAGGUUGACUUUGGUAGAAGUGCCAAGCGGAGACGAUCAGUCCCUAGUGUGUACAAUCGAUGAUCUUUUUACAACAGAAUUGACAGUCAAAUGGAAAAAGAAUGGAAUUGAUGUAACUAGCUUCACAAAUUGGCCCCCCCAAAAAAAUGGAGACACAUAUUCAGCUGUCAGUGUUCUGAAAGUCAAGAACACAGACUGGGACAGUAAAGCUGUAUACACAUGUGAGGUGAUGCACCAACAAACAGCAUAUACAAUGACAAACUCUAAAGUUAUCACAAUAAAACUGAACCAAGCAAGUCCCAAAGAAAUGUUCAACAACAACCAGGCAAAGUUGGAGUGUAUCAUUACCGCACCCGACGCUGACACUCUGAAUAAAAUUCGAAUCACUUGGCAAAUUGAUGGAAGUGAUGUGACCAACAACAUCUCUGAAAGAAAUGUUGCCACAAGCAAAAUUAGCACGUUGAUUUGUAGUCACUCUGACUUGAAGAGUAUCAACAACGUGCGCUGUUCUGCCAUUAGUGACGAUAUGGCACCAGUUUUUCAAGAUCUGACUAUCCCCAAAGGAGAUGGGAGCGUGCCAAAAAUAACUGUCCAUGUCCUCCCAGAGGAAGACAUAACUGAAAGAAACCCGGCUGAGGUCACUCUGGUGUGUCUGGUCUCUAGUACUGAGAAGACGGAUUACUACAUCGCCUGGAUGGAACAAACUGGAGGCAACUCUGGCAGCUUUACUGAUGGCGUUAACUUCCCCCCUCAGAAGACCAAACAGGGUUUCUCAGUUACAAGUAUUUACACCACCACCAAGGAGAAGUGGGAAGCACACAGCAUUUUCACCUGCAACGUCUGGCAUGUUGGUAGCAAAAGGCAAACAUCCAGAGAUGUUUCUGUGGCCGUCCAUAACUCGACUACUUAUUUUAAUCCAGAGUCAAAACUGCAUUUUGCUAUGAGCUGCACAGACGAAUCCAUUGACGAGGAUGAGUACAGCAGCCUGUGGUCCACAACCUCCUCCUUCAUAUUCCUCUUCAUAUCCUCUCUCAUUUAUAGCAUGAUAUUCAGCCUGGUCAAGAUGAAGGGACCAUAAGAUGAAAUGGAUGCGAAGCAUGGACUACAGGUCUUCAUUUGUUUUGUUUUUUAUUUUAUAUCUAGUUUUAAAAACAUUUACAUGAGUGGUCGUAAUAUAAUGAUAAACUAAGACACAUAAAAUAAAUGUACAAUCAAUACAAUUGUAAUUCUUAGUCAUUUAGAUGAAUUUGUUUUCCUGCAUUGGCUACUACUGUUGUUACAUUAUGAAUAGAGACGUUAUUGGUUACUUUUCUUGAAGGUUUUUAGUGUCAUUAAAAUGUCUUGGUAAAGUAUUAUUAAUUUUCAUUGAAUAAUAAAUAUCAAAUAACAUUGUA